Molecule: long non-coding RNA, 157 nt
Organism: Ipomoea nil (Japanese morning glory)
Lineage: Eukaryota; Viridiplantae; Streptophyta; Magnoliopsida; Solanales; Convolvulaceae
Exons: 3
Source: RefSeq, a predicted model, not a curated record
UAAACUCAAUCAAUAUAUUAAAAGAGUUAUCAUCUCUACCAAAAUGAAAUGUUUCAUACAACUUUGUAAGGACUAAAGACAAAAAAAAAAAUAAUUAUAACAAAUAGCCAUAGUAAUGUAUCUGUUGACUAUUUUGAAAGUCUUUUACAUUUAACUU